UCCAGGCCGGAAGCAGGAAGGCGGAAGCCGCGACUCUCCCAACCCGCCCACAGGCCGGCCCUCGCCAGCAUCCGGCCUGAGGAAGUCGCGGGGCCAGUUUCCGGCUGCGCCAUUGCUGUGUGGGUCCCGGGAAAGGGGGGAGGGUGGGGCGGCGCCUGGGUUUCCGGGGAGAGGCAGGUGAGGCCGCUCGAGGUGAGCGGCGGCGCCCGGCUGGUGUCUGGCCCGAAGCCCGAGUCCCGCGCCUCCUGACUGAGGCGCGGGUGGGCUCCGGUCUCUGGGAGCCGGUCUGGAAGCGCUGAGGACCCCCUACCUUUGCCCCGGUGGUCAUCAGAACAGCCGCUCCCCUGCAGGAGCUUAGCCAAGGGUGGAGGGCCCCGGUGGGUGAGAUCCGUGACCCCCGGAAACUCCGACCGAGGAACGGCGGCCAAGAAAGGAGUUGGUCCCCCAAAACCGCCCAGAGCCAAGGUGAAGGUCACACCCAGCGACUCCUGAAGGAUUCUAGCGAGUUCCUCUGGUUCACAUCCACUCUUUGACCCUCUCCUCUUCUGGUUGGACAAUAGUUAAAGCCUCGCGUCGAGGAGACCAAGCUCAGCAGGACCGUGGUGGGUCCACUGACCGUUGUUUCUAAGGGAAAAUGCAGCCAUGCUGUGUGAAGAAGCGUUUUUGUUGUUUCAACUAAGAACCUCUUUUCACAAAAGAAUGAUCGAUAUUUGCCCAAAGUAAACUUGAUAAAUAAUUAAACUGUGUGGGCAUAGAGUUCCCAUAGAGGUACUUGUUCUUUCAGUGCACAAAUAAAGAGAUUCAAAAGUCAACAAGCAGAAAGAGUGAGUUCUCAUUGUCUUCUAAUCUACAGGAACUGAGAGAUUAACUCGGGUUUGGUUGGUGAUCAAGUUUUGUGAUCUCUUGCACUGAACUGCUCUGUUUGACUACCUCUUCAAAUGUUGCAAGACCUCUUCACUGGUGUGUGCCAAAUAAAGCAGGUUUUUAUUCUUGAAAGACUAUAGAAUGUUCUCUUUGAGGAGCAAGCUGUGACAUGUAUAACUAGUUUAGGGAUAACAACAGUAACCAUUAUUUACCAGGGAACAGACUUUUGGCAAAUAAUCUAAUGAUCUAAAAUACUGUUUGUUGGGCAUAUGUUAAUGUUUGUAUGUUGUAUUAGUAGCAGUUGUUUUCUUACUCAUUCUUGUUUGAAAAUUUGGAUGAUGGUUUCAAAGCUUGUGCUGCUUGGACCUAGCCUGUACCUGUGGUAGCCAGAAAAAGCAGACUCAGUCAUUGGAUUGUGUGUACAGAAAACUUGACUUGCUGGCAGAAAGACUUUGUGGGGUUUUUGUUUUUUUUUUCAACUUGCCCAAAUAGUAAUUCCAGGAGAGGGUCAGAAUUUAUUUUAACGUCCUUCACUCCAGAGACCAGUAUGUGUAUGUGUUAUUUUAAUCAUGGUUAGACAGUUUUCCUGAUGACUGCCUCCCCAGUAAUUCGCUCUGCUGUGUCCCUUGUGAAAUGCAGGGGAGUGGAUGGAAAGGCACAUAAGAAGGAAGCGUCUGUAGCUCUUUGGCGCUAGUGUAAAUCAGGCUUUCACUGUCUAAUAUUACUGGUCUCCUUUCCAGUUCCAGGAAUGGCUACAAGCCCAGGAAUAGCAUAGAAGUUGCCACAGCUAAGCUCCCUACUGCUACCUGAGUUGCCUUAAUGAAAGGUGGUGUCAAGAUUGGUUCAGACAGUGCAGGCUACUUUCUAGAGUCAGGAGUUUCAGCUUGUGAGUUGUGAUUCACAGGCCUUGUCUCUGGUGAUUUGAUACUCUGAAAAGUUUCCUCUUUUGUAUGUGGAAAGCUGUUAGAUUAUCCCUGGGGUUCUUUCAGCUUGAAAAUUCUAUUGAUUAAACUGGAUUUGGCCAUUUUUCUUACUUCAGCUUCAUAAGCAGCAGCAGAAUAAGGAAUUUAAUGGAAACAUCAUGGCCAGUUUUCAUAAGGGCUUGUUCUUUAUUUGAAAGAUUCUUAACUGAGUGUUCUCUCUCGGAUGUCUUUCAGAAUUUACUUAGAAUAAUAUGGAAAUAAAGUCUGCUUGUAUUUUAUUUAAGAAAUAAAAUCUUAACCAUUCAUGUAGCUUUAACUGAAAUAACUAAAGCUUACACUUUAAUUAAUGAGGGUUGUCUUUGAAUAAGAAUAAUUACUUUGUAGCAUAUCACAUCAUAUCCAUACCAGUUACUCUGUUGCAAUUAUAGUUUGAAAAUGGAGCCUUCCAAAUUUUUAAGUUUUUUACUCUUAAUAAUUAUUAAGUAAGAACUCAUCUUUCAUUAGUUCUGUUUAAAAGUCUUUCUCUCUUAGGUGGUACAUUUCACCCUGACUCAUGUCAAAAUUGUGAAUGACAAACCUCCAUAAGAGUCUAUUAUAAUAAUCUAGACUUAACUAAAGAUUUUAAGAGUUUUCUUACCUGCUUAACAAUUUGUGUUUUGUUUUUGGUAGAAUUGGUUUCUUCCCUAAGUUUUAUUUUAUGAGUUUUUUCCUACCAUUAAAACACAAUGCAGAUAGAUUUCUUAUUAGGCACAUUUAUGUAAAAAUAAUAGGUACAUGUAUGUAACUAGAAAGGUCAUAGGUUUUAGUGAUAUUUGGAAGAUUAUACUGCAGAAUUGUAAUGUUUAAAGGCUAUUUAUUGACUGCUGUGUUCCAGGUACUAGGCUAGAUGCUUUGCAUCUCUUAUCACUAUUGCUGAGACUAAACUCUGCAGGAUGGUAUUAUACCUGUUUUACAGAUACGGGACCAGAGAUUUAAAAAGUAGAGCAGAGUUCUAAACAGAUCUGGCCCAAAAAAGCCCUGCUCUUGUUUAAUUCCAGAGAUUAGACAAAAUGCUGAUCUCAUAAAAUGAAAGUAAAUUUUUUAUUCUAUAAUUGUUGAUUUAACUAAUAAUCACAAGAAAAUCUUGCCAUACUUCAAAUUGCCCAUUGCCCAGGUGGUGGCAGCAUGUCUCAAAGAGCUCGUGUGGUGUAGGUUUUCUCCAGCCUUGCCAGUGGAUUUGCUUCUUCAUCCCACAUACAUCCAUGACCUGUCUGUUAAGCUCUACUUCUCUCUUGGGCACUUUCACUGCUAUUAGACCAACCCAUCAGUGAUUCACUCCAUCUUCCAUCCUCCCUUCUGCCUCAUCUUCUGAAUGGGUCAUACUCUGCCAGUUUGCUUUCAACCUAUCCCAAGGACAGAGGAGCCUGGCUAGCUGCAGUCCAUGGGGUCGCAAAGACACGACUGAGUGACUAACACUUACUUGCUUAUUUUCCCUACAAAGAAAGCAUCACCAAAGUAUUAUUUUUUGGAAAUUUCAGUAACACAAAGACUUUUUUUUUUCCUUCAAAUAUUGUUAGUUUUCACCCUUUUUUGUUAAAUGUAAUUUGGCAAAAGCACAUCAUAAACUAAAUAAAUGGCUGAUAUUAAUAUGAAAUACCUGUUUAAAUUAAAAGACAUGUGUCUUAAAUGUAAUGGGAUAUACCAGUUAAGAAGGUAAUAAAAAGCUUUUAAAAGAUAGAAUUUGUCUUCAAAAUAAGAACAAGAAGAUUCAGUAGGGAACAGUGAAAGGUCAUAUAAUUUAGAAGGAUGUGUGUGUGUGUGUGUGUGUGUGUGUGUGUGUGUGUGUGUGUGUAAGAAUAACUAGCUAAACUUAACCUUAGCCAAAAAUUUCUUGGAACAUUGUCCUUGCAGGGCUACUUCCUAGAGAUUUCAAAUCAGAUGGUACCUCACAGAAGCCUUCUCUACCCCUAUUUUAUUUUUCUCCCAACACUUCAGUCUGACAUCUUGUUUACUGGUUUAUUGUUUAUCUUUUCCCUGCUAUCAUAUAAGCUAGAUGAGAUCAGUUACCACAGUACCUAAAAUAUUGUUUUGAAUAAUUGAUUCCAAGAUACAACAUUACCACUUACAAAUAAAGCUGUUAGUGUUUGAAUGAAUCAUGAAACAAUCUAAAUCCUGGGAAUCUGUGAAGCUGAUGUUAAAGUAUCAAACUGUUAUUGUAUAUUUUGAAAGAAAUAAGGGAUGCCCCAGUUAGAAUAGGCCCCAGAAAAGAUUAGUUAAUAAGGUGUUUCGGAAAGAUAAAAAUAAUUGUGGUUAUCUUGUUAAUGAAAGACUAGUUGCUUAAGGAUUUCCAAGUAUGUAAAAAGUAUGUUGAAGGAACCUAGUGAUUCAUCAUCUUCAUUGAUAAGAUAAAAGGAAUUAGUCCUAGACUGUAGGUGCUAAGAUUUAAGAUAACAACAAGCUAGACCAGAGAUCUAAAUAGAGAUCUUUGAAAAUGAGGUAAGAGUAUAUAUUAUGCAGGCUAGAUGCCCUCUCUAGAUAUUUCCCAGCUUUAUGAUUCCCAAUGCAGAUUGCAAGAGAAAGAUAGCAGAUGCUUAUCUCAUUGAUUAUUCCUUGCUGUCUAUGGCCUUAUCUGCACAUUUAAAAAACUUUUCAGUGUGUUUGAGUGAUAUGUAUUGAUACUUUGGGUAGUUUAUAGAAGUUUUUUCACGUGAUUGAACAUUGGGUGUUCUACCUUUUUAACCCUGCAACUGUUUACAUUUCUAUAUCUCCAGAAUGUAUGCUACAUGCACAUGCAGCAAACUAAUUCCCUGUAAUUAGAGGGCACCUUUUUGGAAAGGUUAAAUUUUCAUUAAAUUCUUCUGAAGCCUGAGUUGCAGUCCUAUUAAAGUUGUGGGAGACACUAAGCUUUCCUGCUGAAUCUAUAAGUUCAGAUAUUCGGCUUAUCCCUAAAUGAUGUAAUAAUAUUAGCCAUAUCAGGUCACCUUUAGUUUCUGUGCUAGGGUCUCCUAGCCAUUAAAUAGAAGUUGUUGUCCAGUUGAGAAAACUAACCCAUGUAUAAGAGUCCUUCAGUGUAAAGACAAUGUGUAUUGCAAAAGCAGCCCCUAGCAGCAUCACCUUCACUGAGUAGCAACUUAAUUUUAUACAUUCCACCUUCAACUAAGCAAACUACUUGAAGUAACCAUAUCAAAUAUAACCAUAUUUGCUGUAUGAUAUUGUCAGGUAUGUUGGCCUCUGUGUCAUACAGGGCCCUUUAUGUAUAAAGUCCCAUUUAAGAUAUUUUAGAAUGUGAUUCUUAAAAAAAGUUUUGGAAGCCACUUUUUCAUUGGAAGAGUAUUUCCUCUCUUCAAUUUGUCAGGAAGCUCAGGAGCCAAAUUUGAUAUUCAUGUUUAAUAUCCAUCCUGACUUGCAUGCUUGCAUUUCUUUUUGAAUGUAUUUUUCUUAGAACAGAUAUUCUGUACCUGUCAUUAUUGUAUAUGUUCAUGGAGUAAGAUACCUGGUGAAAUAGGCACAAGUAUAAUAUGCCUCUAGAUCAAGUGUUUGAAACCUAGAACAUAGCAUAGAUGUUUGAUAUGUAACAGUAGUUAUUUGGUAGUAAAACUCUUCCACUGCUUCCAAUUUUUAUGUUUAUUUUAAAAUCUUGUGCUAUAAUAUAUCAUUCAGAACUAGGGGACAUAGGAAAUCAUUGUUUAGAAUUGCAUCCCAAAGUCUAGUUCUAAAAGCUAGCUUGUGCCUUUAAUAGCCCUCAGAGUAUAAUGUGUAUAUUUGGAAUCUAGUUUUAAAAGUGAACAAAAAUUUACUGGUGCCAGGUUAUAAAUAUAGUUCCCUAAACCAUCACUUAGAGACAUAUCCUAGCCCCAAAUUCAUAAAUUGCUUUUGCUGAGUUCACGGCUUACGUUUUUAAGCUUUAAGUCAGGAAGUGAAACAGUCUGAAAUCCAAAAACUCCUUUGUGAUUCAUAUAUGUCCUCUUGAAGUGUAAUAAAUAAUUGAGGUGUAUAUGAUGAGUUUCUGGAGGCUUUGAAUUUAGAGUUCUUAAUUUUUAGAAUUGACCUUGAUCAGCUGAUUUUCUGUCCUCUGUAAUAAGGAAGUUGGACCAAUGUCCUCUUGAGAGUCUUUUCAUCUCUAGGUUUCAAUAUUCUGUUGUAGGCUUUACUGCAAUUGUAGACUAUAUUAUUAACGAAUAUAGAUGUAGUCCCCACCAGGGACUUCCCUGGUGGCUCAGAGGGUAAAAGCAUCUGCCUACAAUGCGGGAGACCUGGGUUCAAUCCCUGGGUUGGGAAGAUCUCCUGGAGAAGGAAAUGGCAACCCAUUCCAGUAUUCUUGCCUGGAAAAUUCCAUGGACGGAGGAGCCUGGCAGGCUACAGUCCAUGGGGUCGCAAAGAGUCGGAUACGACUGAGCCACUUCACUUCAUAGAUGUAGAAGAAUCUGAUUUAAUCUCCUUCUAGGUACAUAAUUGAUCAUGUUGUGUGGACCAAAGAGAUCAUUUAAUAUUUCUGUGCCUAGUUUCCAUGUCCAUAAUGUGGAAGUAAUAAUACCUGUUUUUUUGCAAUACUAACUAGUUAAGAAACAUGUAACCUUUUUAUACAAGGUUGAAUUCUAUAGAAUUCAUUUGUAAGUUGAUUCUUGAGAGCUUACACAGAUUCCCAGGGAACAGUGGUUUAGUUCUUCAUGUAGCCUCUAUAUAGCUAUUUGACACACAGCAUAGGUUGAAAAAAGUACCUCUGCAUAAAAAAGGUAAUUCUCAAUACUAGUAACAAAAUAAUAAAAAUUAAACAAAUCUUUGUUUCCUUGUACCACAGUAAGAUUUUAUAAAGAGUGAUAAUGAUUGUAAAUAGUGGAAAUGAAUUUGUCUGAGUCCGUUUUUUCCCCCAAGUUUUUGGAUCCUAAAAGGUAUGAGUGCUUUGUCAGCGCUUUCCAAUCAUCUUACCAUAUAUGCAAUCUAGAAAUCACUGUUUGUUGCAGUUGUUUUCAAGUCUGUUAAACCCUUUUAUACUACAAGAAACUACAGCUGCAUAUGGGCCUAUAAAUUAUUCAUGUGUGUAUGCAAUGCAUAUGGAAUAUAUUCAUACACACUAAUCUAUGAUGUGCCCCUCUCCCCACUUUACUAUCUGUGGAAUGAAGUACAGUCUCCUUAGAGGAGGAAAAUGAUUUUUCCAGUCUGAUCCAACCUGCUGUGUAAAUUUUCAACAUGAUAGAGGAGCAUUUAUUUCAGACCUCUGCAGCUCCAAAAAACUCCUUCUUACUGCAGUGGUGGACAAUAUAGACUGGAACCAAACUACCUGGUUUGGAUCCCAGCUCUGCCUCUUGCUGGGUUGCAGAGACAGCUGUGAGAAUGCACGCCACAGACUCCCACUACAAGGAGCUUAGUUGUCCAAGGGCCCCAGCUGCUGUGCUGAGAAAUCCAUCACUACUUUUGUGCUCAGAAAUGGCUUCUUUCAUAGCUCAGUGACUGAAUGAGAUACUGAGGCCUGUUUCUGGGAGACAGAAGACUCCUCUGAUGGCCAGUGAGGAGUCAAGGACUCCUCCAUUGUCUUGCCAAGCCUUCCUUAAGCUACGCUACAGUCUAGGACUCUUCCUCCCCUCUCUUCACUUGCAUCAUGGCGUGACGGUUUACCCAGUCUUGCCCAGCUCCUUCCCCAUUUUCUCUCACAGCUAUUUCCUGUAAUAGGCAUCUUACACAUUUAAUCCCAUCUUGGCUUCUGGGAUGGAUAAAAUUGGGAUUCAGAGCAGGCUCAUUCAAUACCUGGCCAGAAGUUGUCACCCUGGUGGGCGGGUGGGGCACUCAUCACACCUGGCAUAAAGUUGCAGAUUAACUGUUAAGGUUUCACUGGUAGAGACUUGAGGAAAACUAUGGUAGGUGUGAUUAUGCAGGUAUUUGGAAAAUAGGGGAGGAAUGAUACCUACAAAGACAACAGAAUUGGCUGAUUACUGCUAAAUUGUAUUGGAGCACUGCUGAAGGAAAAUGAGACACAGAGCUGUUAACAAGCAGUUAACAGCUAAGUAUGAGAGCUGUAGAGCCUCUGUGAUAAGUUUAUAGAGAGGCCUUUAACACCUGGAGUUGAAAGACAAGAGUUGGUUGAACUGCAAGCUGAAGAGCCUACUAAUUCUUAGUGUCACAAGGCUCCAGAGACAUUUGAGCACUGAAAGUUUCGCCAAGGCAGUUCUGUUAAUAUGAAGGUGGGGAAACCUAGGAUCCUAAACACAGAUGGGGUCAUCUGGAUGGAUGUCCCUGUGACUCCUAUUCCUUCUGGACCAUCAGGGCUUGCAGAGGUAGUAGCCUUUCUCUAGCAAACUCACAUGUUUGCUGUGCUGGAAGAUGCUGCAGAAGCCUCCUACCCACAGGCAGUAGCCCUCCUCCCUGACCCUGCCCUCCUCCUCCUCCUUUCCCCAGUGUCAAGCCAAUAAUUAACCAAUAACAAAUCCAGUCACUGGUAAAUCCCAGCAUAACCCAGCUGGGAUGUGCUGGGCCUGAUAAGAGAAGAUAGAGACUAUUUUCCUAAAAAUUUGCAUGCUUUAACUGGCAUUACUGGCAGGAACCAGGACAGGACUCCUGGGAUUGGAUUUUAAAGGUGUUUUUUUUUUUUUUUUCCAAAGGGGCAAGAAUGUGAGAUUAGAUAUAUACAAAUUAAUUGACUGAAGGGCACUUUCUGGGGUAUAGAGGAUUUAACACCCCAAGAAGAACUCUGUUAUAGACUGAAUGCGUCGCCCCAAAAUUCAUCUCUUUAAACCUAAUCCCCCGUGUGACUUGGAGGUAAGAGGCCCCAGACAGCUCGCCUGUGCUUUCCACCACGUGAAGACACAGCAAAGAGACAGCUGUUUGUGAACCAGGAAGUGGGCUCUCCCCAGACACCAAAUCUGCAAGCACCUCAGUCUUGGACUUCCCAGCCUUCAGAACCGUGAGAAAUAAAAGUUUGUUGUUUAAAUCACUCAGACUAUGGUCUUCUGUUAUAGCAGCACGAACUCAGAUCCUGAUGUUCAGGGAAAACUUGCUAAGGGGAUGAAUUUUUAGAAACCGAGGGGAAAAGCCCAUUCUUAGCAAAGUGAGAAAAGUCUGAAUGGUAUUGGCAGACUGUAGAGGAAGGAAUAAAGAGGCUGAGCAAAGUGAGCAUACCGGACCAGAAGAUCCAUCAGAGGACUGUGCUCUGUGAACGUCCCCAGAGGAGACGGCAUUCACCCAAGGCCAUCAGGAAAACAGUGCUGAGAGAAAGACCAACAUCACCAAGUUUGCAGGCCAGAGAUGGAGAACCCAGGCAGCACGCAGACCAAUUACGUCACCUUCUGGAGCUGGAACACAAGCAUCAGGAGUGUCUUCACUCCCCAGGUGAUUCCAACAUGCAGAUGAGUGUGGAGACCACUGAUCUCGACAGCUCUGUUACUUCGUGAUUUCAAGAAAACCCAACUGCAGCUUCUCCUAGACUACUGACUCUGCCCUUGAUGGCAGGUUCUGUAUUGUGCAGUUUCUCCAUCAACGUAGUCAGCUUUGAACUUAAGCAAGGCCACAGCCUGAGAGGCAAGAAUACAGGAGUGGAUAUGCCAUUUCUGUCUCCAGGGGAUCUUUCUGACCAGGAACCAAAGCUGUGUCUCCUGUGUUGGCAGGCUGAUCCUUUACCGCUGAGCAAGCAGGGAAGUCCACGAACUAAAAUCAGUCUCAUGGCAGCUGCGCAAGAUGGGAAGGAAUAAUCGCUGAAAUUAGACCAAGGAGGAGAGCGUGAAGUGUGUUUUCUUUCAGCCACCGGUGUCGGAAGAGCUCAAGUUCAGGU
Molecule: long non-coding RNA, 9525 nt
Organism: Bubalus bubalis (water buffalo)
Lineage: Eukaryota; Metazoa; Chordata; Mammalia; Artiodactyla; Bovidae
Exons: 4
Source: RefSeq, a predicted model, not a curated record